RNAcentral lists this ribosomal RNA (496 nucleotides) under uncultured bacterium. RNAcentral describes it as "partial 16S ribosomal RNA". It matches the Rfam family "Bacterial small subunit ribosomal RNA", at positions 28 to 523 of the family's 1533-position model. The record is from RNAcentral.
GACGAACGCUGGCGGUAUGCUUAACACAUGCAAGUCGAACGAGACGAGAUGGAAGGAUCCUUCGGGUGACGGAAAUCUUAGAAAGUGGCGAACGGGUGAGUAACGCGUGGGUAACCUGCCCUAUGGAAAGGAAUAGCCUCGGGAAACUGGGAGUAAUGCCUUAUAAUAUACGAGAGUCGCAUGGCUUUUGUAUUAAACGCUCCGGUGCCAUAGGAUGGACCCGCGUCCCAUUAGCUAGUUGGUGAGAUAACAGCUCACCAAGGCGACGAUGGGAAACCGGUCUAAGGGGGCAAACGGUCACAGUGGAAAUGAGACACGGUCCAGACCCUUACGGGAGGAAACAGUGGGUAUUAAUGCGAAUUGGGGUCACCCCUGACGAAGCAAUACCGGUGAGGGGAAGAAGUUUUGCGGAUCGUAAAGCUCUGUUAUUGGGAAAGAAAAAAGCCGGUACCAAAGAAGAAAGCCCCGGCUAACUACGUGCCAGCAGCCGCCGUAA